RNAcentral lists this ribosomal RNA (425 nucleotides) under Campylobacter gracilis. RNAcentral's name for it is "bacterial SSU rRNA". It matches the Rfam family "Bacterial small subunit ribosomal RNA", at positions 29 to 451 of the family's 1533-position model. Lineage: Bacteria; Pseudomonadati; Campylobacterota; Epsilonproteobacteria; Campylobacterales; Campylobacteraceae. The record is from RNAcentral.
AGUGAACGCUGGCGGCGUGCCUAAUACAUGCAAGUCGAACGGAAUUUAAAAGAGCUUGCUCUUUUAAAUUUAGUGGCGCACGGGUGAGUAAUAUAUAGCUAAUCUGCCCCUUGCUGGAGGACAACAGUUAGAAAUGACUGCUAAUACUCCAUACUCCUUUUUACCAUAAGAUAAAUCGGGAAAGAAUUUCGGCAAGGGAUGAGACUAUAUCGUAUCAGCUAGUCGGUGGGGUAACGGCCUACCGAGGCUAUGACGCGUAACUGGUCUGAGAGGAUGAUCAGUCACAUUGGAACUGAGACACGGUCCAAACUCCUACGGGAGGCAGCAGUAGGGAAUAUUGCGCAAUGGGGGAAACCCUGACGCAGCAACGCCGCGUGGAGGAUGACACUUUUCGGAGCGUAAACUCCUUUUGUUAGGGAAGAAAU